CAAUAGCGUAUAUUUAAGUUGUUGCAGUUAAAAAGCUCGUAGUUGGAUUUUGGGUCGGGGGCACCGGUCCGCCGUUCCGGUGUGCACUGGUGGCCCCUUCCUUUCUGCCGGGGACGUGCGCCGCACUUAAUUGGGUGGCGUUCGGAGUCGGCGUUGUUACUUUGAAAAAAUUAGAGUGUUCAAAGCAAGCCAUCGCUCUGAAUACAUUAGCAUGGAAUAACAUGAUAGGACUCCGGUCUUAUUUUGUUGGUUUCCGAGACUGGAGUAAUGAUUAAGAGGGACAGUCGGGGGCAUCCGUAUUUCAUUGUCAGAGGUGAAAUUCUUGGAUUUAUGAAAGACGAACUUCUGCGAAAGCAUUUGCCAAGGAUGUUUUCAUUAA
This 379-nucleotide ribosomal RNA is filed under the name uncultured eukaryote. RNAcentral describes it as "partial 18S ribosomal RNA". It matches the Rfam family "Eukaryotic small subunit ribosomal RNA", at positions 592 to 976 of the family's 1831-position model. The record is from RNAcentral.